Mangifera indica (mango) is the source of this 928-nucleotide long non-coding RNA. RefSeq lists it as uncharacterized. Lineage: Eukaryota; Viridiplantae; Streptophyta; Magnoliopsida; Sapindales; Anacardiaceae. The record is from RefSeq and is a predicted model, not a curated record. The transcript has 2 exons.
AUCAUCAUGAGCUGAACCAUUAGUCAGAUUUUGUUUUAAGUCUCUUGUUUUCAUUUUCCUUGAGAAAUUUGAUCUAAAGAGAUUACUCAGAGUAGACAAUUGGCUGCGGUAGUGGCGCAGUACAUGCGAGCAGAUCACCAAGAAAUGCUACAAAGAGUUUGAUUUUGAUAAGGUAUUUUUGAACUAACCCUGGGUGGAGAAAUCGAGACGUUAUACUUAUAUUCAACCAUUGGAAGCCGAAGCAUAUUUCAGGUGACCUACUCAGAGAAUCACUUCUGGGAGAAGCAGAAGCAAGUGGAAAAAGAUUGCAGGUCAAGCGUCCAAUUUGGUGACUUAAUUAUUUCAAAGUUUUUUUCCUUAAUUUUGAAGCUUUUCUGCUUCCAGUAAGCUGCUUAUUAGUUGAUUCUUCACGCAAGUUGAAAAAAUUCAUAUGCCACAAACAGCUGGAAAGUUUGAAGUUGAGUGAUUUGGACGUGUCACAAGUAUAAUUUUUCUCAAUUACAUCUUCGAAACAGUUCGUUGAUCCAACUAUCGAACAACUGAUUUGAUGAUCAGUUGACUUAUACCAGCCUUUUCAUCAUAUUAACAUUUGAUCUGACAUGAAACCCAUAAUCUCGAGCUUCAGGUCUGCGUUAUAUUAAACUUUUUUUUUUUGAAAAACUAAAUAAAUUAAGAGUAAUUUUAUAGAUAAAAAUAACGGGUCGAUUUUACUCAAUCACAUAAUAACAAAUUAGUUUGCUUGUUGUCAAACAUUAAUCUCUAAAUAUUUUCAUUGUCUGGUUUGUAUGUCUUUCUUGAGAUUUCUGCGGUAACCUAGCACAAGGUUCGUCUCAAAUAUUUGAUGUAAUAUCUAGUUUCAUUCAUAUUUUUUACCAUUCUUAUAGUUAUUUAGGAAGUGUGGUCGAGAUUUGAAUUUUAAAAUAGAAAU